RNAcentral lists this ribosomal RNA (467 nucleotides) under uncultured bacterium. Its description in RNAcentral is "partial 16S ribosomal RNA". It matches the Rfam family "Bacterial small subunit ribosomal RNA", at positions 28 to 506 of the family's 1533-position model. The record is from RNAcentral.
GACGAACGCUGGCGGCGUGCUUAACACAUGCAAGUCGAACGGAAAGGCCCUGCUUUUGUGGGGUGCUCGAGUGGCGAACGGGUGAGUAACACGUGAGUAACCUGCCCUUGACUUUGGGAUAACUUCAGGAAACUGGGGCUAAUACCGGAUAGGAGCUCCUGCUGCAUGGUGGGGGUUGGAAAGUUUCGGCGGUUGGGGAUGGACUCGCGGCUUAUCAGCUUGUUGGUGGGGUAGUGGCUUACCAAGGCUUUGACGGGUAGCCGGCCUGAGAGGGUGACCGGCCACAUGGGGACUGAGAUACGGCCCAGACUCCUACGGGAGGCAGCAGUGGGGAAUAUUGAACAAUGGGCGGAAGCCUGAUGCAGCAACGCCGCGUGCGGGAUGACGGCCUUCGGGUUGUAAACCGCUUUCGCCUGUGACGAAGCGUGAGUGACGGUAAUGGGUAAAGAAGCACCGGCUAACUACGU